CCUACGGGCGGCAGCAGUGAGGAAUAUUGGUCAAUGGACGAGAGUCUGAACCAGCCAAGUAGCGUGAAGGAUGACUGCCCUAUGGGUUGUAAACUUCUUUUAUAUGGGAAUAAAAUGUUCCACGUGUGGGAUUUUGUAUGUACCAUAUGAAUAAGGAUCGGCUAACUCCGUGCCAGCAGCCGCGGUAAUACGGAGGAUCCGAGCGUUAGCCGGAUUUAUUGGGUUUAAAGGGAGAGUAGGUGGAUUGUUAAGUCAGUUGUGAAAGUUUGCGGCUCAACCGUAAAAUUGCAGUGGAAACUGGCAGUCUUGAGUACAGUAGAGGUGAGCGGAAUUCGUGGUGUAGCGGUGAAAUGCUUAGAUAUCACGAAGAACUCCGAUUGCGAAGGCAGUUCACUGGACUGCAACUGACACUGAGGCUCGAAAGUGUGGGUAUCAAACAGGAUUAGAUACCCGGGUAGUC
RNAcentral lists this ribosomal RNA (460 nucleotides) under uncultured bacterium. RNAcentral describes it as "partial 16S ribosomal RNA". It matches the Rfam family "Bacterial small subunit ribosomal RNA", at positions 338 to 795 of the family's 1533-position model. The record is from RNAcentral.